GUCCACGCCGUAAACGAUGACUACUAGGUGUCGGGCAGCAAAGCUGUUCGGUGUCGCAGCAAACGCAAUAAGUAGUCCACCUGGGGAGUACGUUCGCAAGAAUGAAACUCAAAAGGAAUUGACGGGGACCCGCACAAGCGGUGGAGCAUGUGGUUUAAUUCGAAGCAACGCGAAGAACCUUACCUGCUCUUGACAUCUCCCUGACCGGCAAGUAAUGUUGCCUUUCUUCGGGACAGGGAUGACAGGUGGUGCAUGGUUGUCGU
RNAcentral lists this ribosomal RNA (263 nucleotides) under uncultured bacterium. Its description in RNAcentral is "partial 16S ribosomal RNA". It matches the Rfam family "Bacterial small subunit ribosomal RNA", at positions 793 to 1055 of the family's 1533-position model. The record is from RNAcentral.